UACGGGGGGAGCAAGCGUUGUUCGGAUUUACUGGGCGUAAAGGGCGCGUAGGCGGUCAGCACAAGUCAGUUGUGAAAUCUCCGGGCUUAACUCGGAAAGGUCAACUGAUACUGUGCGACUAGAGUGCAGAAGGGGCAACUGGAAUUCUCGGUGUAGCGGUGAAAUGCGUAGAUAUCAGGAGGAACACCGGUGGCGAAGGCGGCCCUCUGGACGGUGACUGACGCUGAGACGCGAAAGCGUGGGGAGCAAACAGG
Molecule: ribosomal RNA, 254 nt
Filed under: uncultured bacterium
Lineage: Bacteria
Description: partial 16S ribosomal RNA
Rfam family: Bacterial small subunit ribosomal RNA
Source: RNAcentral